GUACUUCAUUAAUGUAAGUCGCUUUGGACAAAAGCGUCUGCCAAAUGAAAUGUA
Molecule: regulatory RNA element, 54 nt
Organism: Astyanax mexicanus (Mexican tetra)
Lineage: Eukaryota; Metazoa; Chordata; Actinopteri; Characiformes; Acestrorhamphidae
Rfam family: UnaL2 LINE 3' element
About the family: The eel long interspersed element (LINE) UnaL2 and its partner short interspersed element (SINE) share a conserved 3' tail containing a stem-loop that is critical for their retrotransposition. Presumably, the first step of retrotransposition is the recognition of their 3' tails by UnaL2-encoded reverse transcriptase.
Source: Rfam